RNAcentral lists this ribosomal RNA (483 nucleotides) under uncultured bacterium. RNAcentral describes it as "partial 16S ribosomal RNA". It matches the Rfam family "Bacterial small subunit ribosomal RNA", at positions 29 to 507 of the family's 1533-position model. The record is from RNAcentral.
UUGAACGCUGGCGGCAUGCUUUACACAUGCAAGUCGAACGGCAGCGCGGGCUUCGGCCUGGCGGCGAGUGGCGAACGGGUGAGUAAUACAUCGGAACGUGCCCAGUAGUGGGGGAUAGCUCGGCGAAAGCCGGAUUAAUACCGCAUACGACCUGAGGGUGAAAGCGGGGGAUCUUCGGACCUCGCGCUAUUGGAGCGGCCGAUGGCAGAUUAGCUAGUUGGUGGGGUAAAGGCCUACCAAGGCGACGAUCUGUAGCUGGUCUGAGAGGACGACCAGCCACACUGGGACUGAGACACGGCCCAGACUCCUACGGGAGGCAGCAGUGGGGAAUUUUGGACAAUGGGCGAAAGCCUGAUCCAGCAAUGCCGCGUGUGUGAUGAGGGCCUUCGGGUUGUAAAGCACUUUUGGCGGGAACGAAAAGGACUGUGCCAAUACCACGGUUCGAUGACGGUACCCGCAGAAUAAGCACCGGCUAACUACGUG